GAUGAACGCUAGCUACAGGCUUAACACAUGCAAGUCGAGGGGAAACGAUAGAGAAAGCUUGCUUUUUCUAGGCGUCGACCGGCGCACGGGUGAGUAACGCGUAUCCAACCUGCCCACCACUUGGGGAUAACCUUGCGAAAGUAAGACUAAUACCCAAUGAUAUCUCUAGAAGACAUCUGAAAGGGAUUAAAGAUUUAUCGGUGAUGGAUGGGGAUGCGUCUGAUUAGCUUGUUGGCGGGGUAACGGCCCACCAAGGCUACGAUCAGUAGGGGUCCUGGGAGGAAGGUCCCCCACAUUGGAACUGAGACACGGUCCAAACCCCUACGGGAGGCAGCAGUGAGGAAUAUUGGUCAAUGGACGAGAGUCUGAACCAGCCAAGUAGCGUGCAGGAUGACGGCCCUAUGGGUUGUAAACUGCUUUUAUAAGGGAAUAAAGUGAGUCUCGUGAGACUUUUUGCAUGUACCUUAUGAAUAAGGACCGGCUAAUUCCGUGCCAGCCGCCGCAGUAA
This 508-nucleotide ribosomal RNA is filed under the name uncultured bacterium. RNAcentral describes it as "partial 16S ribosomal RNA". It matches the Rfam family "Bacterial small subunit ribosomal RNA", at positions 28 to 523 of the family's 1533-position model. The record is from RNAcentral.